This 253-nucleotide ribosomal RNA is filed under the name uncultured bacterium. Its description in RNAcentral is "partial 16S ribosomal RNA". It matches the Rfam family "Bacterial small subunit ribosomal RNA", at positions 524 to 776 of the family's 1533-position model. The record is from RNAcentral.
UACAGAGGCCUCAAGCGUUGUUCGGAUUCAUUGGGCGUAAAGGGUGCGUAGGUGGCGCCGUAAGUCAGGUGUGAAAUCUCGGGGCUCAACCCCGAAACUGCACUUGAUACUGCGGUGCUCGAGUACUGGAGAGGAGAUUGGAAUUUACGGUGUAGCAGUGAAAUGCGUAGAUAUCGUAAGGAAGACCAGUGGCGAAGGCGAAUCUCUGGACAGUUACUGACACUGAGGCACGAAGGCCAGGGGAGCAAACGGG